This is a long non-coding RNA of Carassius carassius (crucian carp), 340 nucleotides long. RefSeq lists it as uncharacterized. The transcript has 3 exons. The record is from RefSeq and is a predicted model, not a curated record. Lineage: Eukaryota; Metazoa; Chordata; Actinopteri; Cypriniformes; Cyprinidae.
GUGUGAACACCCAGACAAAGUUUCCAGGGAUCCAAAAAAAUGGAUCCAACCAGGAUCAAUAGCGCUCCAUAAAGUGGAAAAGCUAUUAUACAACAAGAGAGUUCUCAAGGAUAUAGAAAAGCUCAGCCACAACUUUCAGACGUCAUCACUGGAGGCUUUCCACAGUCUGAUUUUGCGUUUUGCCCCAAAGAACGUGAUUUUCCCUUUCAUAGGAAUGUUGUGCAGGCUGUAUCUUGCAGCAAUGCACUAUAAUGAAAAUGCUAACCGUGAGCAGGCAACAACAACUGAAGGACAGGCUGUGUAUAAGAUCGUUUUUCCAAAGUCCAAAAAAGGGGAAUGC